CCUACGGGGGGCAGCAGUAGGGAAUCUUCCACAAUGGACGAAAGUCUGAUGGAGCAACGCCGCGUGCAUGAAGAAGGGUUUCGGCUCGUAAAGCUCUGUUGGUAGUGAGGAAAGAUAUAGGUAGUAACUGGCCUUUAUUUGACGGUCAUUACUUAGAAAGUGACGGCUAACUACGUUCCAGCAGCCGCGGUAAUACGUAGGUGGCCAGCGUUGUCCGGAUUUAUUGGGCGUAAUGCGAGUGAAGGCGGUUCAAUAAGUCUGAUUUGAAAGCCGUCGGCUCAACCGGAGAAUUGCAUCAGAAACUGUUGAACUUGAGUGCAGAAGAGGAGAGUGGAACUCCAUGUGUAGCGGUGGAAUGCGUAGAUAUAUGGAAGAACACCAGUGGCGAAGGCGGCUCUCUGGUCUGCAACUGACGCUGAGGCUCGAAAGCAUGGGUAGCGAACAGGAUUAGAUACCCGGGUAGUC
RNAcentral lists this ribosomal RNA (465 nucleotides) under uncultured bacterium. RNAcentral describes it as "partial 16S ribosomal RNA". It matches the Rfam family "Bacterial small subunit ribosomal RNA", at positions 338 to 795 of the family's 1533-position model. The record is from RNAcentral.